AUGAUAUAUUUGAAAGAAUUAAGCAAGAGCAAGAAGAGAGAGAACAAAAGAAGCAAACAAAAGGUAGGAAAAUAAAACAAAAACAAGAGAUCAUACCAAACAGGUUGAACAAGUAGAAAAAAACACGUGUCAAGAAUGAAAUGAUCAUUAUGAUGAAGAUGUCAAUACAAGUGACUUCUAGGUAGGAUGUGACACUCCUGGAUGCUGCAAAUGGUAUCAUUAUUGGUGUUCGAACCUCCGACAAAUGCCGGAUGAAACAGAGCCCUUCUUUUGUCCGUGUUUCUCCAAAUAAUAGUUACUAAGUAGUCAGAACAUAUCCAACGACUACUAACACAACAAAGUAAAUUUAGCAUAGAGGCUACAGAGUCGAUGUAUAGUUUGUUUAGUAUCCUAUUACAGAACUGUCUCACAUUAGGGACAUCUCCCCAUCAUAUCUCGGUCAGUGCUUGCUAUCUCGUUACUACAACUUCGCUUGAGACGCAAGUCGUCUCUGUCGAUAGGCUCAUUAUAUGACUUCCUUUCGCCAAAUUGUUGGUUUUGUCUUGUCAACCUCUACUCUCGCAGACAACGAAGAAGACGGAUGACUGACUGGACAUAAUCUCUGUCACCUGAUCUCGAGUGAUUUUCUCUCUUCAAACGCAGACCUGAGGCGUUCUUUUUGGCUAAUGUUAUAGUCAUCACCGCUGGCUACUAGACCUACGGGGUGAUGUUAGUGCUCAUCGUACUGUUGCUGCAGCAGAACGAGACAAUACUUUGGACAUGCGGGAUUAUAUCUCGGUCAGUCACUUUUAUCGCGUUUCUACAAGACGAAUUGAGACGUUAGUCAUGUCUGUUGAAAGGGCGGUGAGAAAGGUGAUGGACCUACGGGACAUAAUCUCGGUCACAGUAUGAGCGCACUUGUUGGGUUCUACAGCUUUCAGAAAUUCUCUUAUGGACGUGGUGGAGGAGGCAACGAGAUCACAAUCUCAUUCACUACAUCCAGUUAAGCAACGUAGUUAUAUGAAAUCACCUGCUGCCGUUUCUAUGCCAUCAAUGAGACAACCUGCCAUCUUUGUUGAAGCAAUUGAAGCAAAUGCAGAAGAGCCGCCAGACAGAACAGUCACACAAACGUCUGUCACAAGCGAUCCAAUCUAUAAGCUCUGACAUUCCUGCAUGGAAUGACUGCAGAAUCCAAGCAAAGAAACAAACUUCAACAGGAAGAGAUAUGCCUGAUUGUGUGAAGAAAUUUCUAAUAGAACAUUCAGUUGUAUGUGGUUUAUGAAGAUGGAGUGAGAUAGAAAGAUAAAGUCGGAUAGAAAGCUCUUCAUGUUCUCCGUCUAUCAGUAGGAAUAAUAGUGACACAUCAAAUGGUCUUCCUCUGCUGUCAUUGUGGUCACGUGAUGUUACUCUACAGGUCACGUGAUGUUACUCUACAGGUCACGUGAUGGUUGUAACGCUAUAGAUGAGAACAAUCGUCUCCUAGUGUGAAGACUGAAUAUUUAAUUCUAGAUACUUUUAUUUGUUUAAGAGAUGUUUUGUAUUAUGAAAUAUAGAGUAGAAUGUAAAUAGUAAACAAUGAUAUAGAAUACUCUAAAAUAGUUAUGAUUUACGAGUAUUUCCGGGUAAGCUAGUGGAACGUUAGAAAUAUUGAUACAAAACUUUGUUGUUAGUGCGUUACAUUUACAAUGAUGU
This is a long non-coding RNA of Corticium candelabrum, 1671 nucleotides long. RefSeq lists it as uncharacterized. NCBI's taxonomy places the organism in Eukaryota, Metazoa, Porifera, Homoscleromorpha, Homosclerophorida, Plakinidae. The record is from RefSeq and is a predicted model, not a curated record. The transcript is spliced from 7 exons.